Molecule: long non-coding RNA, 480 nt
Organism: Marmota monax (woodchuck)
Lineage: Eukaryota; Metazoa; Chordata; Mammalia; Rodentia; Sciuridae
Exons: 3
Source: RefSeq, a predicted model, not a curated record
UCCCAUCUUAGACACAAGCAUUGUUCUGGACUGGGCUUGCAAUAUAUGAUUUUCCUUCCAAAUUCAGAAGCUACAGUUUCUUAUCAUCAACGACUUCUAAAAUUUUAACAAUUAAAAAAUGUUCCCUGCCUAGAAGGAAACAGAGAGAUCAAAAGAUUACAAGUUCUCCAGCCACACUUGCUUUGUACACACAGCCUUUUAAUAUUUUCCAGAACUAUUCUUUGACUUCCAGUUGAGCAGAGAAUUGAAUUAAUCAGACUAAGUCCAGUUUAGAACCUAAUAGGAUCCAAACACAAUAAAAUUGCCCAUGCAAAAGGUCACCACUAUCUAAAGCUGGGAAGACUACAUAAAUGGAACAGCAGACAGCACAGCAUAAAAGGUCCGUGAAUUUUUUUGUUAACUGAUGUGUGUGUGUACUACAUGAAAUUAGAACACACGCUUAGGGAAGACAGCAAUGGCUAUUUGAUAAAUGGAUGCCUG